AACUCAGGAACCUAAGGCAAACACGCAAAGUACUGAUAGGUUUUUUCAAUUGGUUUUAUUUUUUGCCUAAUUGAUGAUAUUGUUUGUUUUUUUUGCCCCUGUUUUAUUUAUUUUUCUGCAGGCUGAGGUUGAUGCUGCUGUCCAGCUGCUACUGAAGCUGGAAAUGGGCUACAAACAGAUGACUGGUCAGGACUACAAAGCAGGAUGUCCGUCAGUGAACGAUGCUGCGCCGAACAACAGAACGGCAGCAGAUUUGGCCGGUGAGGACGACACGGUGGAUCCAUGGACCGUUUCAACCACCAACGCCAAGGGAGCCGAUUAUGACAAAUUAAUAGUGAGGUUUGGGAGCAGUAAAAUCGACCAGGAGCUGGUGGAUAAAGAAGGUUUGUGGACAGAAGCCCCAUUGCUUCCUACGAAGAGGAGUUUUCUUCUCACACACAUGUUUGUUCUUCCAAUUAAUAACUGACAGAUUAAUCAUAUUAAUGCAAAACUUUUCACAUUAUAACUAUGAACUUCAGUAUGCUCUAUUUUAGUGCAUAAUUUAGCAUAAUGUUUUACAUCUUUUGGAAAUAAAAAUGAUUUCCGAUU
Molecule: long non-coding RNA, 588 nt
Organism: Xiphophorus couchianus (Monterrey platyfish)
Lineage: Eukaryota; Metazoa; Chordata; Actinopteri; Cyprinodontiformes; Poeciliidae
Exons: 2
Source: RefSeq, a predicted model, not a curated record